Molecule: ribosomal RNA, 3028 nt
Filed under: Salmonella enterica
Lineage: Bacteria; Pseudomonadati; Pseudomonadota; Gammaproteobacteria; Enterobacterales; Enterobacteriaceae
Description: 23S ribosomal RNA
Rfam family: Bacterial large subunit ribosomal RNA
Source: RNAcentral
GGGUUGUGAGGUUAAGCGACUAAGCGUACAUGGUGGAUGCCCUGGCAGUCAGAGGCGAUGAAGGGCGUGCUAAUCUGCGAUAAGCGCCGGUAAGGUGAUAUGAACCGUUAUAACCGGCGAUACCCGAAUGGGGAAACCCAGUGUGACUCGUCACACUAUCAUUAACUGAAUCCAUAGGUUAAUGAGGCGAACCGGGGGAACUGAAACAUCUAAGUACCCCGAGGAAAAGAAAUCAACCGAGAUUCCCCCAGUAGCGGCGAGCGAACGGGGAGGAGCCCAGAGCCUGAAUCAGCAUGUGUGUUAGUGGAAGCGUCUGGAAAGGCGCGCGAUACAGGGUGACAGCCCCGUACACAAAAGCGCAUGUGCUGUGAGCUCGAUGAGUAGGGCGGGACACGUGGUAUCCUGUCUGAAUAUGGGGGGACCAUCCUCCAAGGCUAAAUACUCCUGACUGACCGAUAGUGAACCAGUACCGUGAGGGAAAGGCGAAAAGAACCCCGGCGAGGGGAGUGAAAAAGAACCUGAAACCGUGUACGUACAAGCAGUGGGAGCCCCACCACCAAAGCAUUCUCUGGUGUUGAAGGCCCUGCAAAGCAGCAUCGCGGUGGCGGAGCGUCGUUUGCGACGCCCAACACACAAAACAAGCGGUGAGUGCUUUGGGGUGGGGUGACUGCGUACCUUUUGUAUAAUGGGUCAGCGACUUAUAUUCUGUAGCAAGGUUAACCGAAUAGGGGAGCCGGAGGGAAACCGAGUCUUAAUUGGGCGUUAAGUUGCAGGGUAUAGACCCGAAACCCGGUGAUCUAGCCAUGGGCAGGUUGAAGGUUGGGUAACACUAACUGGAGGACCGAACCGACUAAUGUUGAAAAAUUAGCGGAUGACCUGUGGCUGGGGGUGAAAGGCCAAUCAAACCGGGAGAUAGCUGGUUCUCCCCGAAAGCUAUUUAGGUAGCGCCUCGUGAAUUCAUCUCCGGGGGUAGAGCACUGUUUCGGCUAGGGGGCCAUCCCGGCUUACCAACCCGAUGCAAACUGCGAAUACCGGAGAAUGUUAUCACGGGAGACACACGGCGGGUGCUAACGUCCGUCGUGAAGAGGGAAACAACCCAGACCGCCAGCUAAGGUCCCAAAGUCAUGGUUAAGUGGGAAACGAUGUGGGAAGGCCCAGACAGCCAGGAUGUUGGCUUAGAAGCAGCCAUCAUUUAAAGAAAGCGUAAUAGCUCACUGGUCGAGUCGGCCUGCGCGGAAGAUGUAACGGGGCUAAACCAUGCACCGAAGCUGCGGCAGCGACGCUGAUGCGUUGUUGGGUAGGGGAGCGUUCUGUAAGCCUGUGAAGGUGUGCUGUGAGGCAUGCUGGAGGUAUCAGAAGUGCGAAUGCUGACAUAAGUAACGAUAAAGCGGGUGAAAAGCCCGCUCGCCGGAAGACCAAGGGUUCCUGUCCAACGUUAAUCGGGGCAGGGUGAGUCGACCCCUAAGGCGAGGCCGAAAGGCGUAGUCGAUGGGAAACGGGUUAAUAUUCCCGUACUUGGUGUUACUGCGAAGGGGGACGGAGAAGGCUAUGUUGGCCGGGCGACGGUUGUCCCGGUUUAAGCGUGUAGGUGUGUGUUCCAGGUAAAUCCGGUUCACUUUAACACUGAGGCGUGACGACGAGGCACUACGGUGCUGAAGCAACAAAUGCCCUGCUUCCAGGAAAAGCCUCUAAGCAUCAGGUAACACGAAAUCGUACCCCAAACCGACACAGGUGGUCAGGUAGAGAAUACCAAGGCGCUUGAGAGAACUCGGGUGAAGGAACUAGGCAAAAUGGUGCCGUAACUUCGGGAGAAGGCACGCUGACACGUAGGUGAAGUGAUUUACUCAUGGAGCUGAAGUCAGUCGAAGAUACCAGCUGGCUGCAACUGUUUAUUAAAAACACAGCACUGUGCAAACACGAAAGUGGACGUAUACGGUGUGACGCCUGCCCGGUGCCGGAAGGUUAAUUGAUGGGGUCAGCGCAAGCGAAGCUCCUGAUCGAAGCCCCGGUAAACGGCGGCCGUAACUAUAACGGUCCUAAGGUAGCGAAAUUCCUUGUCGGGUAAGUUCCGACCUGCACGAAUGGCGUAAUGAUGGCCAGGCUGUCUCCACCCGAGACUCAGUGAAAUUGAACUCGCUGUGAAGAUGCAGUGUACCCGCGGCAAGACGGAAAGACCCCGUGAACCUUUACUAUAGCUUGACACUGAACAUUGAGCCUUGAUGUGUAGGAUAGGUGGGAGGCUUUGAAGUGUGGACGCCAGUCUGCAUGGAGCCGGCCUUGAAAUACCACCCUUUAAUGUUUGAUGUUCUAACGUGGACCCGUGAUCCGGGUUGCGGACAGUGUCUGGUGGGUAGUUUGACUGGGGCGGUCUCCUCCUAAAGAGUAACGGAGGAGCACGAAGGUUGGCUAAUCCUGGUCGGACAUCAGGAGGUUAGUGCAAUGGCAUAAGCCAGCUUGACUGCGAGCGUGACGGCGCGAGCAGGUGCGAAAGCAGGUCAUAGUGAUCCGGUGGUUCUGAAUGGAAGGGCCAUCGCUCAACGGAUAAAAGGUACUCCGGGGAUAACAGGCUGAUACCGCCCAAGAGUUCAUAUCGACGGCGGUGUUUGGCACCUCGAUGUCGGCUCAUCACAUCCUGGGGCUGAAGUAGGUCCCAAGGGUAUGGCUGUUCGCCAUUUAAAGUGGUACGCGAGCUGGGUUUAGAACGUCGUGAGACAGUUCGGUCCCUAUCUGCCGUGGGCGCUGGAGAACUGAGGGGGGCUGCUCCUAGUACGAGAGGACCGGAGUGGACGCAUCACUGGUGUUCGGGUUGUCAUGCCAAUGGCACUGCCCGGUAGCUAAAUGCGGAAGAGAUAAGUGCUGAAAGCAUCUAAGCACGAAACUUGCCCCGAGAUGAGUUCUCCCUGAGACUUAGAGUCUCCUGAAGGAACGUUGAAGACGACGACGUUGAUAGGCCGGGUGUGUAAGCGCAGCGAUGCGUUGAGCUAACCGGUACUAAUGAACCGUGAGGCUUAACCUUACAACGCCGAAG